This 846-nucleotide long non-coding RNA is filed under the name Acyrthosiphon pisum (pea aphid). Its description in RNAcentral is "uncharacterized LOC115034687, transcript variant X2". The record is from RNAcentral. Lineage: Eukaryota; Metazoa; Arthropoda; Insecta; Hemiptera; Aphididae.
GGCAACGUCGAGUAACAAUUUGGCCAAAAAAUAUUGUCGAAUAUGUUUGUUUAAACCAUGAAAGGGAUUGAAAACAGUUUUUAAAACGAAGAUUAUGUUACUUAGAUUUUUAAAAGGAAGGAAUUAAUUUAGCCGCCCAAAACUGCGCAAUAUUGUUUAAUUAAACGGCGAUCUAAACGGUUAUAGAAAAAAAUUCUGUAAAUAAUUUUGAGGUGGAUGGAUUUCCGAGAAAACUUCAAAACUAAUCUAGAUAGUUAACGGCAACGUCGAGUAACAAUUUGGCCAAAAAAAAUUGUCGAAUAUGUUUGUUUAAACCAUGAAAGGGAUUGAACACAGUUUUUAAAACGAAGAUUAUGUUACUUAGAUUCUUAAAAGGAAGGAAUUCAUUUAGCCGCCUAAGACUGCGCAAUAUUGUUUAAUUAAACGGCGAUCUAAACGAUUAUAGAAAAAAUUCUGUAAAUGUAAUUUUUUUUUGUUCUAAGGUGUUGAUGACAUACCUGUUGAUGACUUUUUGAAUACAAAAUUUAUUUUUUCAGAAUUUUGAGGUGGAUGGAUUUCCGAGAAAACUUCAAAACUAAUCUAGAUAGUUAACGGCAACGUCGAGUAACAAUUUGGCCAAAAAAAAUUGUCGAAUAUGUUUGUUUAAACCAUGAAAGGGAUUGAAAACAGUUUUUAAAACGAAGAUUAUGUUACUUAGAUUUUUAAAAGGAAGGAAUUAAUUUAGCCGCCCAAAACUGCGCAAUAUUGUUUAAUUAAACGGCGAAAUAAACGGUUAUAGAAAAAAAUUCUAAUUUUGAGGUGGAUGGAUUUCCGAGAAAACUUCAAAACUAAUCUAGAUAGUUAACG